AAGGUUUGGUCCUAGCCCUUCUAUUAGCCAUCAGUAGGAUUACACAUGCAAGUAUCAGCGCCCCGGUGAAGAUGCCCUCUUAAUCACCAACGAUAAAGAGGAGCGGGUAUCAAGCACACUAUACAGUAGCUAAAAACGCCUUGCCUAGCCACACCCCCACGGGAUACAGCAGUGACAAAAAUUAAGCCAUGAACGAAAGUUCGACUAAGCCAUACUAGCCUACAGGGUUGGUAAAUUUCGUGCCAGCCACCGCGGUCAUACGAUUAACCCAAGUUAAUAGACAUACGGCGUAAAACGUGUUAAGGAAACUACCCACACAAUAAAGUUAAAUCUUGGGUUAUGCUGUAAAAAGCUUUAGCCCAGACAAAAAUAAACCACGAAGGUGACUUUAAACAUAUCCGACUACACGAUAGCUAAGACACAAACUGGGAUUAGAUACCCCACUAUGCUUAGCCCUAAACUUAAGCAGCUAAACUAACGAUGCUACUCGCCAGAGUACUACUAGCAACAGCUUAAAACUCAAAGGACUUGGCGGUGCUUUAUAUCCCUCUAGAGGAGCCUGUUCUGUAAUCGAUAAACCCCGAUAAACCUCACCAACUCUUGCUAAUACAGCCUAUAUACCGCCAUCUUCAGCAAACCCUAAAAAGGAAAUAAAGUAAGCAAAAUCAUAAAACAUAAAAACGUUAGGUCAAGGUGUAGCCUAUGAGUUGGAAAGAAAUGGGCUACAUUUUCUAGUAUAGAACAUCAACGAAAAUUUUCGUGAAACCGGAAAUAGAAGGAGGAUUUAGUAGUAAAUUAAGAACAGAGAGCUUAGUUGAAUUAGGCCAUGAAGCACGCACACACCGCCCGUCACCCUCCUCAAGUAUAAAGAUACAUGCCCAAUCCUAUUAAUAAAUGUACACACACAUGAGAGGAGAUAAGUCGUAACAAGGUAAGCGUACUGG
RNAcentral lists this non-coding RNA (944 nucleotides) under Pteropus seychellensis seychellensis. RNAcentral's name for it is "partial 12S ribosomal RNA". It matches the Rfam family "Bacterial small subunit ribosomal RNA". Lineage: Eukaryota; Metazoa; Chordata; Mammalia; Chiroptera; Pteropodidae. The record is from RNAcentral.